This 322-nucleotide ribosomal RNA is filed under the name uncultured bacterium. Its description in RNAcentral is "bacterial SSU rRNA". It matches the Rfam family "Bacterial small subunit ribosomal RNA", at positions 83 to 422 of the family's 1533-position model. The record is from RNAcentral.
UAGCAAUACGGAGUGGCAGACGGGUGAGUAACGCGUGGGAACCUUCCCAGUGGUACGGAAUAGCCCGGGGAAACCCGGAGUAAUACCGUAUAAGCCCGAAAGGGGAAAGAUUUAUCGCCAUUGGAUGGGCCCGCGUCGGAUUAGCUAGUUGGUGAGGUAACGGCUCACCAAGGCGACGAUCCGUAGCUGGUCUGAGAGGAUGAUCAGCCACACUGGGACUGAGACACGGCCCAGACUCCUACGGGAGGCAGCAGUAGGGAAUAUUGGACAAUGGGCGAAAGCCUGAUCCAGCCAUGCCGCGUGAGUGACGAAGGCCUUCGGG